This is a long non-coding RNA of Oncorhynchus keta (chum salmon), 329 nucleotides long. RefSeq lists it as uncharacterized. The transcript is spliced from 3 exons. NCBI's taxonomy places the organism in Eukaryota, Metazoa, Chordata, Actinopteri, Salmoniformes, Salmonidae. The record is from RefSeq and is a predicted model, not a curated record.
UUAUAAUGUUCCAGGUAUCCAGUCUAUCAGACAGUAUUAUAAUGUUCCAGGUAUCCAGUCUAUCAGACAGUAUUAUAAUGUUCCAGGUAUCCAGUCUAUCAGACAGUAUUAUAUUAUAAUGUUCCAGGUAUCCAGUCUAUCAGGCAGUAUUAUAUUAUAAUGUUCCAGGUAUCCAGUCUAUCAGACAGUAUUAUAAUGUUCCAGGUAUCCAGUCUAUCAGACAGUAUUAUGAUGUUCCAGGUAUCCAGUCUAUCAGACAGUAUUAUAUUAUAAUGUUCCAGGUAUCCAGUCUAUCAGACAGUAUUAUGAUGUUCCAGGUAUCCAGUCUA